RNAcentral lists this ribosomal RNA (391 nucleotides) under Trigonidiidae sp. MMN-2008. Its description in RNAcentral is "partial 16S ribosomal RNA". Lineage: Eukaryota; Metazoa; Arthropoda; Insecta; Orthoptera; Trigonidiidae. The record is from RNAcentral.
AUUAUAAAGAGCCGCGGUAUUUUGACCGUGCAAAGGUAGCAUAAUCAAUAGUUCUUUAAUUGGGGACUGGAAUGAAAGGUUUAACGAAAUAAUUUCUGUCUUAGAAUAAAAAUUUGAAUUUUAUAUUUAAGUUAAAAAGCUUAAAUGAGUGAAAGGGACAAUAAGACCCUAUAGAUUUUUAUAAAAUAAAUUAUUAAUGAAAAUGAAAUAGUGAAAUAAUAGUUAUUUUAUUUGGUUGGGGUGAUAUUAGAAUAAAAAAACUUCUUUUGAAUUAAACAAAAAUUUUUGGGUGUUUGAUCCUAAUAUGUAGAUUAAAAGAUUAAAAUACCUUAGGGAUAACAGCAUAAUCUUAUUUGAGAGUUCAUAUUAAUAAUAAGGAUUAUGACCUCGA